Molecule: ribosomal RNA, 651 nt
Filed under: Bacillus cereus
Lineage: Bacteria; Bacillati; Bacillota; Bacilli; Caryophanales; Bacillaceae
Description: bacterial SSU rRNA
Rfam family: Bacterial small subunit ribosomal RNA
Source: RNAcentral
CUCUUAUGAAGUUAGCGGCGGACGGGUGAGUAACACGUGGGUAACCUGCCCAUAAGACUGGGAUAACUCCGGGAAACCGGGGCUAAUACCGGAUAACAUUUUGAACCGCAUGGUUCGAAAUUGAAAGGCGGCUUCGGCUGUCACUUAUGGAUGGACCCGCGUCGCAUUAGCUAGUUGGUGAGGUAACGGCUCACCAAGGCAACGAUGCGUAGCCGACCUGAGAGGGUGAUCGGCCACACUGGGACUGAGACACGGCCCAGACUCCUACGGGAGGCAGCAGUAGGGAAUCUUCCGCAAUGGACGAAAGUCUGACGGAGCAACGCCGCGUGAGUGAUGAAGGCUUUCGGGUCGUAAAACUCUGUUGUUAGGGAAGAACAAGUGCUAGUUGAAUAAGCUGGCACCUUGACGGUACCUAACCAGAAAGCCACGGCUAACUACGUGCCAGCAGCCGCGGUAAUACGUAGGUGGCAAGCGUUAUCCGGAAUUAUUGGGCGUAAAGCGCGCGCAGGUGGUUUCUUAAGUCUGAUGUGAAAGCCCACGGCUCAACCGUGGAGGGUCAUUGGAAACUGGGAGACUUGAGUGCAGAAGAGGAAAGUGGAAUUCCAUGUGUAGCGGUGAAAUGCGUAGAGAUAUGGAGGAACACCAGUGGCG